AUACCUAUAACUAUAAUCACUGAAGGAUUAUAUUUCACAAAGACAAUCUAGCUUCCAUUAAUAGUACCUUCUAUUUGGGUUUGGCAUUUUACUGUUUUUCACCACUUUUUUUCAACUAUUUAUGCCAAUCUGUCUGAAAGUCUGAAAAACAGAUUUCUCCCCAAUAUACCUUCAAAAUGCUACCAAAGACUAAAAUUUACCUUCAACUUUUGAAGCAAUGGGUCUUUACUGUAAACUUUUCAAUAAGGAUUAGCAAGGCUUCUUAAAGAAAUCUGCUUAAUACAAAGAUUUCUAAUCUACAGAAUAUUCUGAACUCAACAAGAAAGCCAACUUUAUAUUCUGUCAGAGUUGGAACUUUUAACCAGUCAAGUCAUUAACUUCAAUUUUUUACCAUCAGUUAGCAGACUGUUUUGAUUUCUAUGGAGCCCGAUCUUUCACAAUUUUGUUUUUGCACAAUUUCAAUAACCCUGGAUGAUUAAUUGACCAA
Molecule: long non-coding RNA, 487 nt
Organism: Gavialis gangeticus (Gharial)
Lineage: Eukaryota; Metazoa; Chordata; Crocodylia; Gavialidae
Exons: 3
Source: RefSeq, a predicted model, not a curated record